RNAcentral lists this ribosomal RNA (171 nucleotides) under uncultured bacterium. RNAcentral describes it as "partial 16S ribosomal RNA". It matches the Rfam family "Bacterial small subunit ribosomal RNA", at positions 362 to 524 of the family's 1533-position model. The record is from RNAcentral.
UCUUCCGCAAUGGACGAAAGUCUGACGGAGCAACGCCGCGUGAGUGAUGAAGGCUUUCGGGUCGUAAAACUCUGUUGUUAGGGAAGAACAAGUGCUAGUUGAAUAAGCUGGCACCUUGACGGUACCUAACCAGAAAGCCACGGCUAACUACGUGCCAGCAGCCGCGGUAAU